AACGAACGCUGGCGGCAUGCCUAACACAUGCAAGUCGAACGAGACCUUCGGGUCUAGUGGCGCACGGGUGCGUAACGCGUGGGAACCUGCCUUUAGGUUCGGAAUAACUCAGAGAAAUUUGAGCUAAUACCGGAUGAUGUCUUCGGACCAAAGAUUUAUCGCCUUUAGAUGGGCCCGCGUUGGAUUAGCUAGUUGGUGGGGUAAAGGCCUACCAAGGCGACGAUCCAUAGCUGGUCUGAGAGGAUGAUCAGCCACACUGGGACUGAGACACGGCCCAGACUCCUACGGGAGGCAGCAGUGGGGAAUCUUAGACAAUGGGGGAAACCCUGAUCUAGCCAUGCCGCGUGAUCGAUGAAGGCCUUAGGGUUGUAAAGAUCUUUCAGAUGGGAAGAUAAUGACGGUACCAUCAGAAGAAGCCCCGGCUUAACUCCGUG
Molecule: ribosomal RNA, 434 nt
Filed under: uncultured bacterium
Lineage: Bacteria
Description: bacterial SSU rRNA
Rfam family: Bacterial small subunit ribosomal RNA
Source: RNAcentral